CUCCCUCUGCUGGUGAUUGUGAGUCACCAGAUUGAAAUAAAUAACAGACACCAAUGUUACUUAAAUGUUUGUGUUUUAAUCACCUCCCCUUUGAAAUGUGCUAAAGCCAAAAGUUGCACUCCAUAGACACACCGUCAUCAGACACUGUUGUGUUACGUUUGUUUGGUCAGCUCGGCAGAAACCAGAGGAAACGUUGACAUCUUCAUCGACAACUGGUUCAGUACUGGAUGUGGGUACAGUUUGACGUCAAGUGCAUUUAUUGCAUCGUAAAGCAGACAUAUAAAUGAUAGUAGUGCAAUUACACCCCAUCAUUAUUGAGGAGAUAUCUUGAUAGUCUCAGCUAGUGUCUCGUCGAUGGUGGACUUUGUAUUGCGUACAGAAUUUAGGCGAGAGAAGCGCGAUAGGAAAUUCUAAUAGUAAAAAAUUGUGCUUUAUACGGCGAAAGAAUAAUUCAAUAUUUGUAGAAAUUCCCUUCAAUACAAAUUAAGUAAAUGGAGGAAGCUAAUAUCUAGUAAAUCUUUAGCAAAAGAAGCUGUUGUGCUCUCUGUGUUUCAUCAAGUAGAAGUUAUGUACCUCAAACCUGGUCCUCAAAAAUGAAUGUGGGUGUCGGUGGAUGCAAACAUUAAAGCGUAUGCGUAAUUGCAAAAAGAGAGGAAUAUAUAUAAAAAACAUGCUUUCUGAGGUGUUAAGUAUAGAAGUGUGUACUGUGAUUAAAAUCUGUCUAUUUCCUGUAAGCAAUGUGUUGUUUCUGUGCAAUUUGAUGAUGGUACCUGCAUAUCUAAUAUACCGUAUGUACAAUUAAGCCUUGAUAACAUGUGACUUGUGUAAGUCAAGUGGCUCGUGUGAGGAUGGUCCUAAAAAGCCCUUCGGAUAAAACAGGAAUGCGAUACGUCAUGCACAUACAUUACAGUAUUUACAUAAGUUGUAUGCUAGCUGAAUUCUAGAGUUUUAGAAGGUGAAAGAGGUUGCAUCAUUGUCGAGAAUGUCAGUGAAUUACUUAUAUGUAUUGUGGGUGCUGUAUUAUGUAUAAUGUGAUUGCACUGAUUAUAUGAACAAAAGAGGCAAUUGUUGACUUUGCAACGUUUGGAUGAAGCUUUUAGGAUUUGCAGCAAAUACAUUUAUUUGACUUGUCUUAUGACUAGAAGUUGUACAUAUUACUCAUGUAUGUAGUAGUUAAAGUUAAAUCUGGCCAUUGCUAUGCAGUUGGCAGAGAAAUAGGAAUUUGAUAGGAUUUGAAAGUAUGAACUUGACUAUUCCACUAGCGGCCCCCCUCCCGAUACUCCCUACAUGUUGGGCUGAUAUUCACAUGUUUAGCUGUUUAUGCAUAAUAGUACAUCCACUUUUUCGAUACACUAAUGAGUGGACGAGUAGGUUAUAUUCAAUGUAUUAUUCAUCUUUAAAUAUAUUGUCUUUGGACAUCAUACAGAAAAUAUACUGAUUUAAGUGAUUUUUAUGUUUUUUGCAGUCCACUUGGAAACCUUAAGAACAAGACAUGAUGUGGUUGUUUCAUCUCGCACAAUUUAUCAUAGUCAUUGUGAAGAAGUAAAAUAUAUUAAACAGGCAAUGGCAAAUAUUUCUAUAAAGAAUUAUGUACUGUACAACACCCGGUAAUAAGAGUAAGGGUUCUGCAAAAAAAGGACAGUCAACCGUCAUCAAUGCCAGUUUGUACAAGCCUGAGACUGGAGCAACAAAACUGUCCUUUUUUUGGAUUUGCUUGUGCUUCAAUUAUGUGUCAAGAUUUUUCCAAUUUUUUCAGAAAAAAUAAAUUAUAAAUAACUUAACUAAUUUCUUUGUGGUUUAAAAAAAAGAAAAAAAAAGAUAUUUCAUGACAACCACAGUUUGGGGUUAAUUUUGAAGGUUAUCAAAUUUUCCGCUAAAUAUCUGCAAACAAACCACAGUUAUUGUAAAUAAUCCUUCCAGCAUUUAUACAUUCACAGCUGUGACAAAAUAUGCAUAUAGUCUUGAUGUGCAAGUAUGUGCUUGUCAUGCAUGAGCUUUGCAUCACUGUUGCAUACAGAUAAGUGAACUGUUAUACCGAGAGCAAGAUAUGAAUCGUACAUAGUUGUAUAGAUAGUUGCUGUAAAACAUAUUUGUGAAUAAAUAACACUUUAAAAAGGCUACUGGAUAAACAAGGAAAGGAAGUUAUCAUUUUCCUUGGGAGACCAUGUUGAUUCUGCUGGAAACAAUUGUGCCUUUGAGGAGACAUUUGGUUUAAACUGGAAUGACAGCCGACGGACAGCUGUAGAUACGGAGGACAAACAGACUCGGAUUCUGUCUCUCUGCACUCUUUGGCCAAAAGGGGAAACCGGGUCUCCAGAGAGGAAACCCUGGGAAGCUACUCGUGUUUGUAUCUUGAAUAAUACUUAUAGUGUUGCUAUGCUACAGUUCUCUUUUCUCUCCUCACAUGUAUUUAUCUACAACCACAGCUGAAUUAGCCCAUGUGUGUCUGGGACUGCCUCCUCUGGGUGGGGAGGGAGGAGGAAGGGGUUGGGGGGG
Molecule: long non-coding RNA, 2496 nt
Organism: Gasterosteus aculeatus aculeatus (three-spined stickleback)
Lineage: Eukaryota; Metazoa; Chordata; Actinopteri; Perciformes; Gasterosteidae
Source: Ensembl